RNAcentral lists this ribosomal RNA (1695 nucleotides) under Escherichia coli. RNAcentral describes it as "partial 23S ribosomal RNA". It matches the Rfam family "Bacterial large subunit ribosomal RNA", at positions 548 to 2226 of the family's 2925-position model. The record is from RNAcentral. Lineage: Bacteria; Pseudomonadati; Pseudomonadota; Gammaproteobacteria; Enterobacterales; Enterobacteriaceae.
ACCUGAAACCGUGUACGUACAAGCAGUGGGAGCACAGAGCAAUCUGUGUGACUGCGUACCUUUUGUAUAAUGGGUCAGCGACUUAUAUUCUGUAGCAAGGUUAACCGAAUAGGGGAGCCGAAGGGAAACCGAGUCUUAACUGGGCGUUAAGUUGCAGGGUAUAGACCCGAAACCCGGUGAUCUAGCCAUGGGCAGGUUGAAGGUUGGGUAACACUAACUGGAGGACCGAACCGACUAAUGUUGAAAAAUUAGCGGAUGACUUGUGGCUGGGGGUGAAAGGCCAAUCAAACCGGGAGAUAGCUGGUUCUCCCCGAAAGCUAUUUAGGUAGCGCCUCGUGAAUUCAUCUCCGGGGGUAGAGCACUGUUUCGGCAAGGGGGUCAUCCCGACUUACCAACCCGAUGCAAACUGCGAAUACCGGAGAAUGUUAUCACGGGAGACACACGGCGGGUGCUAACGUCCGUCGUGAAGAGGGAAACAACCCAGACCGCCAGCUAAGGUCCCAAAGUCAUGGUUAAGUGGGAAACGAUGUGGGAAGGCCCAGACAGCCAGGAUGUUGGCUUAGAAGCAGCCAUCAUUUAAAGAAAGCGUAAUAGCUCACUGGUCGAGUCGGCCUGCGCGGAAGAUGUAACGGGGCUAAACCAUGCACCGAAGCUGCGGCAGCGACGCUGAUGCGUUGUUGGGUAGGGGAGCGUUCUGUAAGCCUGUGAAGGUGUGCUGUGAGGCAUGCUGGAGGUAUCAGAAGUGCGAAUGCUGACAUAAGUAACGAUAAAGCGGGUGAAAAGCCCGCUCGCCGGAAGACCAAGGGUUCCUGUCCAACGUUAAUCGGGGCAGGGUGAGUCGACCCCUAAGGCGAGGCCGAAAGGCGUAGUCGAUGGGAAACAGGUUAAUAUUCCUGUACUUGGUGUUACUGCGAAGGGGGGACGGAGAAGGCUAUGUUGGCCGGGCGACGGUUGUCCCGGUUUAAGCGUGUAGGCUGGUUUUCCAGGCAAAUCCGGAAAAUCAAGGCUGAGGCGUGAUGACGAGGCACUACGGUGCUGAAGCAACAAAUGCCCUGCUUCCAGGAAAAGCCUCUAAGCAUCAGGUAACAUCAAAUCGUACCCCAAACCGACACAGGUGGUCAGGUAGAGAAUACCAAGGCGCUUGAGAGAACUCGGGUGAAGGAACUAGGCAAAAUGGUGCCGUAACUUCGGGAGAAGGCACGCUGAUAUGUAGGUGAAGUCCCUCGCGGAUGGAGCUGAAAUCAGUCGAAGAUACCAGCUGGCUGCAACUGUUUAUUAAAAACACAGCACUGUGCAAACACGAAAGUGGACGUAUACGGUGUGACGCCUGCCCGGUGCCGGAAGGUUAAUUGAUGGGGUCAGCGCAAGCGAAGCUCUUGAUCGAAGCCCCGGUAAACGGCGGCCGUAACUAUAACGGUCCUAAGGUAGCGAAAUUCCUUGUCGGGUAAGUUCCGACCUGCACGAAUGGCGUAAUGAUGGCCAGGCUGUCUCCACCCGAGACUCAGUGAAAUUGAACUCGCUGUGAAGAUGCAGUGUACCCGCGGCAAGACGGAAAGACCCCGUGAACCUUUACUAUAGCUUGACACUGAACAUUGAGCCUUGAUGUGUAGGAUAGGUGGGAGGCUUUGAAGUGUGGACGCCAGUCUGCAUGGAGCCGACCUUGAAAUACCACCCUUUAAUGUUUGAUGUUCUAAC